AUGAACGCUAGCGGCAGGCUUAAUACAUGCAAGUCGAGGGGCAGCAGGGAUAGCAAUAUUCGCUGGCGACCGGCGCACGGGUGCGUAACACGUAUACAAUCUGCCUUUUACUGGGGGAUAGCCUUUCGAAAGAGAGAUUAAUACCCCAUAAUAGUUGACCAGGCAUCUGGUUGAUUUGAAAGCUCCGGCGGUAAGAGAUGAGUAUGCGUCUGAUUAGCUAGUAGGUGAGGUAACGGCUCACCUAGGCCACGAUCAGUAGGGGAUCUGAGAGGACUAACCCCCACACGGAUACUGAGACACGGAUCCGACUCCUACGGGAGGCAGCAGUAAGGAAUAUUGGACAAUGCCCGCAAGGGUGAUCCAGCCAUGCCGCGUGCAGGAAGACGGCCCUAUGGGUUGUAAACUGCUUUUAUACAAGAGAAAACCUCCCUACGUGUAGGGAGCUGAUAGUAUUGUAGGAAUAAGCAUCGGCUAACUUCGU
This 481-nucleotide ribosomal RNA is filed under the name uncultured bacterium. RNAcentral describes it as "bacterial SSU rRNA". It matches the Rfam family "Bacterial small subunit ribosomal RNA", at positions 29 to 506 of the family's 1533-position model. The record is from RNAcentral.